RNAcentral lists this transfer RNA (61 nucleotides) under Eutreptiella gymnastica. Lineage: Eukaryota; Euglenozoa; Euglenophyceae; Eutreptiales; Eutreptiaceae. The record is from RNAcentral.
CUGUAGUUGAACGGUAGUGCAGCUAUGUGAGAAUUCUAAGGUCUGUGGUUCAAUUCCCGGU